RNAcentral lists this unclassified non-coding RNA (2775 nucleotides) under Rhipicephalus microplus (southern cattle tick). Its description in RNAcentral is "pHD finger protein 14-like, transcript variant X2". Lineage: Eukaryota; Metazoa; Arthropoda; Arachnida; Ixodida; Ixodidae. The record is from RNAcentral.
GGUUGAUUGUGUUAAUGGCGAGCGAAACUGUGUACUUUCGAGCGUGAUUGCCGCUGGCAUUUUGUAGGGAGAAGACGGCUGCCCUGUGAUAAGAACUGUACGGAUUACCUUAAACAUGACUGACAAAGAUGGAUACGUCGAAAAUGUUGGUUUUCUGUACCGCACUAUGGUGGAAAGAGAUCCCAGCAAGCGGAGAGUGAAGCCUGUCGAAAAUCACCUGCAACUGCUCGAUUUUGCCGACUAUGGUGACAGUUCUGAUGACAGCGACUUUCAAAUAGAUGAUCACGAGAAAGACCUGGAAUCUGAUGAUCAAGGUGAUUCGUCGGAAAAUGUUGACGAUGACGAUGAGUCUUCUGGAACAGCUUCGGAAGAGGAAGAGAAAUUUUCUCCUGCUGAGGUGGCCAACGGUGUUGCCGAGCCUAAUGAAACUAAGAAAGUCCCCAAGCUUAUCGUCGGUGACCUCAUUGAGAGGGCAAGGCAAAGGCAAAGUCAAGCACGACAGCGAAUAUCUGGCGAAGGCGAAUCUUCCCUGAAGCUGAAAAUCACUAUCUGUGCUGUCUGCCUUGGUGAUAUAAGCAUAGAAGACGAUGAAAUUGUCGAGUGCGAUUGCUGUGGUGUGUCUGUUCAUGAAGGAUGCUACGGUAUUACGGACAGCGACUCGGUCAUGAGCACGGGCUCCUCCAGUUCGACAGAGCCGUGGUUUUGUGAUGCUUGCCGAGCUGGGCAGAAAGAGCCUAUUUGUGAACUCUGCCCGAACAGUGGAGGCAUAUUCAAAGAAACGGACGUUGGCAAGUGGGUGCACCUGGUUUGUGCAUUGUACAUCCCAGGGGUAGCCUUUGGCAAUGUGGAGAAGCUCACUCCUGUGACUCUGUUCGAGAUGCCCUACUCACGAUGGGGCGCCAAGUCAUGUGUGCUGUGUGAAGACGAGCGCCUCAGCCGCACUGGAGUGUGCAUCACGUGCGAUGCCGGCAUGUGCAAAGCGUCGUUCCAUGUGACCUGUGCCCAGAGGGAAGGCUUGCUUUCCGAAGCUUCAAUGGAGGAGAUUGCAGAUCCUUUCUUCGCCUACUGCAAGCUGCAUGCUGACAAGAUGAUUGUUCGAAGCAAACGAAGGAACUGGCUUGCGCUGCAGUCACGCAACAGGAAUCAAGCCGCUGGACCUCAAGAUGCUAGGGAGAAGGCACGUGUGGAACGCAAGCUGGCGUGGCAUCGCGAGCGCUACCAACGCCAUCGCGCCGAACGGCCCCCACCUUGGGUGCCGACACAGAAGAUGGCGCGCCUGCUGACGAGCAGUCCGUGGGCAUGCCGACAGCUGUUGCGCAAGGCCCAGCUCAUGGGCGUGUCGCAGCCGGGUCACCUGGCAGCCGAAGGGGUGGCGGAUGCCCGCCGCAAGUGGCAUGUGCCGCCCGCCUUCAGCCUCGAGUUUGUCAGUUACUACCUGGAUCGCGACAUUCGUAUGUCAACCAUGAGGCGGCACUUGGACGAGCUUUUGCAGCAGAACUCGGAGCUUCAAGACCAGGAGCAGGGGCUCAGGCGAAAGUAUGACCAGGCGAUUGUCCAACUGGAGGAGUUGAAGAAGGAGCACAAUCACAUGCACGAGCUAGGCGUGCAGUACUGGAAGAUGCUGUGUGACAUAACCAACAAGAAGCUUCCUAUGCCAGAAGUACUUGAAGUUAGGAAGCCAGCAGCCAAGCCAGCCAGCCGAACUAGCCGGAGGUCCGAUUCCGGGUCAUCAUUCCUUUUUGAAUGCGGUGUUUGCAAGAAAUCUCAGGACCAGCAUCAGCUUGCCAAGUGCGACAAGUGCCAGCUACACUACCACCUCUACUGCCUUGACCCACCACUCACCAGGAUGCCAAAGAAGACCAAGUCAAUGGGAUGGCAGUGUAGCGGAUGCAACAAGAACUCUGAUGAGGACAAGGAGAGGCAUUGCGACCCCAAUGCACCACGGCGUUUGCGAGAUCAGCCCCGUGGCACACUCCGCUAUGAGGACUUCCCGUUCAUUGAGAGCCCCAGAAAGUUGCAGCCCAGUCGUCUGAGCCGUCGUGUGCGACAGUCACAAACCUGCAUUGUGCCAGACUCUCCCAAGGCCACCACUCCCACAUUAGCGAACCCCGUUGCGGCUGCUGCUGCUGCCCUCACCCCCACGGUUACCGUCCCUAGUACUUCCACCACAACGGUGGCAACUCCCGCUACACAAAUCCCGGCAGCUGUUGGUGACGAGUCAUUGGCAAAUUCAACAGAGCCUUCAGACGUGGUCUCCCAGAGCUCCGUUAUGAAGCGGCAGCGAAGCUCGACGGGUCCAGGGAAGCGCCCUCGCCGUCGCCUGGCCCCCGAAAUGCAGGCGUACCGCAAAGCAAAGCGAGUCAAACGCAAGUCCGCACCUGCGGUCGUGGCACCAGUGCCACCUGUGACAACACCUGCUCCACCUGCUCCUCCGGUUCCAAAAAGCGAACCCUCCACACCGUACAUCGAGGCCGUCCCUGGUGUGUCUGGGAUUCGCAUGCCGGUGAAGAGAACUCCGCUGGACAAAGACUUGAGGGUGGAAUGCAAACGGUGUGGCAACCCGGGCGACUGCACAAAUCUUGUUGUCUGUGAUGAGUGCAAGAAAGGAUACCACUUCCUCUGCCUGUAUCCGCCCGUGCGGAAGAGCCCGAAGCAGCGCGGUUACACCUGGAACUGUGAAGAGUGCAACUCAUCGUAGGAGCAGCGACGCAUGCACCUUUAAGCGCUGCAAGAACACAGUAAGCGUCAACGCUCCUUUAAUUGAUGAAGAGGAUU